Molecule: long non-coding RNA, 480 nt
Filed under: Brassica napus (rape)
Lineage: Eukaryota; Viridiplantae; Streptophyta; Magnoliopsida; Brassicales; Brassicaceae
Description: long non-coding RNA (BNAP_LNC000714)
Source: RNAcentral
CUGAGACUCUACUGAUCGUGUCUGAAACGAAUCGAAAAGCACAAACAAACCGAAAGGUGCAAACACAUGGCUUGAAAGUUCAUGAAUCUGCUGUUCCAUACAACUGACAUAGUAUAGAACACCAAACUAUCAUCAACCCCUAAAUAAUAAACUCAUCUCAACUUCACCCCCAACCUCUAAAUAUUAAACUCUAAACCCUAAUCACUAAAUCCUAAACUUCUAAUCUUUACAUAGUAAACCCUCCCACAACCACUAAAUACUACAUCCAAACCCCUAAUUAAUAAAUUUAAACCCUAAUCAAUAAAUUUUAAACCCAAAUAUAACCUAUAACUAUUGAAAUAGUAUAGGACUUCAACCUAACUUCUAAUCCCUACGUAAUAAACCCUCCCAUACUACAGUCAAACCCCUAAUUAGUAAAUCUAAACCCUAACCAGUAAACUAUAAACCCAAAUAUAACAUAUGAAUACAAUUCAUAAAUAC